Molecule: long non-coding RNA, 3386 nt
Organism: Gallus gallus (chicken)
Lineage: Eukaryota; Metazoa; Chordata; Aves; Galliformes; Phasianidae
Source: Ensembl
CCUCAAUGUCAUUUAUUCAUGGUGAUGGUCAUUUUUGGUUUGCACUAUACUGGUGCUAAAAAACAGCACCCAGUUAUAGCUAGGAUUUUUAACAAGCAUGUGAACAUGAAAGCAAAAGCUUUAUUAAAGUACUAAGUAUUAAUUAGCAAAAAGACAGAUAUCUUACUUUCCUUCUGACUGACAACUACUUCCAUAUGGAGAUAAAUAAGCCUGCUCUGAAUGGAAAAAAAAUACUGCAGAACAGCAAAUAACCCAGGCAUUUUUUAAUACAUCUUAGAUACACUUGACAUAUUAUAGAUUAUACUGAGUUUACAUAUCGAAGUCAUCAUUCAUGACUAAUAAAAUUAAUAAGACUAAUAUAUGAGCAUGUAGAUGCAAAGCUAAGCAAAUAAAUCUGCAGCAUUCUCAGUAGUCCCAACAAGUAUCUAUUUUAUUAAUGAAUUUUAGCUUAUUGACUUGAAAAAGUUUUUCCUUCACAGUAGAAAAUCGUGUGAAGACUUCUACAGUUUCCAGGUUUUACCUGUGGAAUCUCAAAAAAAAGCUGGUAAUCAAAAAUCUUAAUUAAACCACAGCACCGGUUCAAAUUAUUUUUGCUAAAUACUGGGCCACUGAAAUCUCACCAGGCCAUUCUCAUAUUCCUACACCCCAGUGUUCAUGUUCAUACAUGUCCCUUUUUAUUGCUGUACUUUUUCUCUGCAAUGAUAUUUGAAAAAGAAGAGACAUGCAAGAGGAAAAUGAUUGUUUCUGUGCAUAAAAUCUAUAAUAUUCUUCUCCCCAGCAGUAUUGCCUGCAAUAUAAGGCUGAAGAGUUUUAAGAACAAUACUAAGUAAGGACUUUUUGUCCUUAAUAGUGCAAUGCCUUGCAACAGAAAGCUGAGGCAGGUUUCUGCUGACUUAGCAUAUGCCUCACAAGAAAGAAAUCUAUCUGGCAAUUAUGGUUUUGCGUCUCCUGCCCUGUCUUCUGUUGUUUGUAUAAGACAGCGGUACUUCUGCCACAGGCUUCAUACAGCUGUCCUGUCAAUGCCAGUUUUCAUAGGUAAUCCAUCUAGCUCAGCAGAGUUCAAAUAAGACACCUCCCUGUCUUUAAUUAAUGCUUUAUUUAAGUCUCCCCUGGGGAUGUAGCCAUGCUGAUUUUUCAAAAUUCUCUGUUAUUUUUCAAGCACAAAAGAAAAGUCUACAUCUGAGUUUCUAGACUGGGAAAAUCUACUUCACUCAGUCUUCUAGUCUCAAGUCAAUGUUUUAAAUCCUCACAGACAUCUCUUUAGCUACUGAAAGUGUUAUGCAUUUAGUUCUCCAGAUUGGGAAGGAGGAAAAAAAAAAAAAGAUAAAUUCAGUCAAAUUCAUUCUCUCUGCAAUCUCUUCUCAUGUUCUGCAUCCACAUUUACCAUAGUCAUAGCCAGUUUAUGCCCUGAUUUAUGCUAUCAUAGACCAUUAAACCCCACAUAUCACUCAGACCCCUUCAGGUAAUGAGCAGUCUCAGCUCAAGUCACAAACCAUUUCUUGCUGUGUAGCUGCUUGUCUUGAGCCUGUGGCUUUGCUGAUCAGGAUCUGAAUGCUGUGGCCUGGUACAACUGAGCUUAUACAGUCCUCAGCGUGAGGUCACUGUGGAUGCAAAACCACAUCGGACAGUCUUAUGAUGUUUUCAAGACUUUUUUUUAAAUAUAUGUGUGACAGUGCUGUUAAUCAGACCUGAUGUACAUGAGCAAACUAGUAAAAUACAUCAAAUGACAGAUAAGCAAGACAGGCUAAAACCAAAGGCUGCAGCAAAGCAUGUUUGAAUCAGCAAGUCAAGAACUGGUACACCCUCAAUCAACACUGUCUGAUAAUAUUUUACUUGCUUUGGGUUUUCGUGUUUUAAUGAGCAAAGAAGUGUUUUGUAAUCCUCAUUAUAUAAAUGCAUAGCACCACUUUGUGCUUCUGUAGCUUCUUCCCCAAAUUAUACUGCGUGCAUUAAGCAAGACUUGUGGCAUCCUUCAGAGGGUGUGAGAGUUUCAGUGAAUUGUUUAUAUAUAGGGGGUAGCCAUAGAGGCUUGUUCCAUGCAGAGAUUAAGAGCAUUAGGAACAGAAAUUUUCAUUCACAGUUUUCAGUCAAACAUACUACAAAGAUACAAUUUUCAUUUUUCACAAGCCAUGCAAGUUAGCUCCUACCAAGUUUAUUCUACCUCUCUAACUGAAGUGGGGCACACCAAAAUGAGUGUCCACCAAUUCCCCUGGAACAAUGAAAGGCGUGUUGUAGGCUUGAUAUCCUGACGUCAGCACAAGUCUGCACACAGACCAACCCUUAAUUUUGCUAAAGGCUUCAGUUGAAAUUGUAUGACAGUUCUUUGGCAGAGCUGAAAAGUGAAGCCCAGAUGGUGGCGUCCCAGGUGACACCCUCUGAUCUCUAGAUAAUCAUCCUUUUGCUUCCUGAUUGCAUUUUUUUUCUGUCAUGACUACAGUGUCAUACUUCCAGCCUUGCUCUGCUGAGUCCAUUUCAAUCCUCAAAGAGCCAACAGUCAGAAAGACAAAGGUCAUGCAGAUGGACCAGAAGCUAGAUGACAUCCUGACCGCGCUCCAGGCUCAGUUUGGGGAUCAGCCACAGGCACAGAUGUCAGGGCAGCCGCUCCACCUGUCAGACAGCUACAGACAGCCUCAGAUUCCUCCCCACUGAACCGGAAAAUUUAAGAGCCGGAGGACAGCCACAUGCCACCCCCUCAUUCUUUUACAUCUGGUUAUUUUUAAGUCUUGGUGUCUCAGGAUUCAGCUGUGUUGUUGAUGAAAUGGAAUAUGCUUCUGUGAUAGAUUAAAUGAAAGAGAAGCAGCAGCAAAAAGCCAGCCAUGCCCCUAGGAGGGCGCAUAAGUUUUGCACCUGUUUUAUUAGCCACUGUUAGCUAACCUAUGUCAGCCUGUGGCAGACCUUCUCAGCCAACCCCAUUUAGGCUGAGGGCGCACACAUAGACCACUCUGGUAAGGUAAGCACCCAAGCAAGGGUCAGGAUGACCCAUUCAUGGACAAAGGGGAAAAAGGACCAUGUUUUUGGCAUUUAAGCACUAAAUUUAAUUCUCACAGCAUGCCCAAAAGGGGAAAGGAGCCAGCAUUUGAACAUGAAAUAAAUGGAAAUCAGUGAACAGGAAACUUAAACAGCAUGUUUUGACUUCCACCAAGCAGUGAGGAUCAUAAGAAGGGCAGAUUUAUACAUUAGUGUGAAUGACAAUGUAAAGACAACAGGCUACUGAGUAAAAUAUGGAAGUGUACACCGGCUGGUUGACAUAUGAAAGAAGCAAAGACUUCAGCUAAUUAAAGCAAAGGUUUGCAAAUGAGAUGAGAUGCAUGUUGGAACAGACAGGCAGGAGAGAUAGUAUCUGCGUAGGCUUACUGCACAAGAACGCUCCAAUAGCUAUCAGCUAC